Molecule: transfer RNA, 70 nt
Filed under: Nilssonia formosa
Lineage: Eukaryota; Metazoa; Chordata; Testudines; Trionychidae
Description: tRNA-Leu
Source: RNAcentral
AUUUUCAAAGGAUAACAGCAAUCCAAUGGUUUUAGGAGGCAUUAUUUCUUGGUGCAUUCCAGUGAAAAUA